AUAAUAAUAAUAAUAAUAAUGAUCAUGUUGCAUUUGGAGAGUUGGAGUUUCCUCCUUGGUUAAGUGCAAAUAAUGAUGAGAGUUUGUUGCAACAACAUUUGGAUGAUUCUUGCUCCGAGGAUACUACUUUGCCAUGGAUGGAUAUUGGAGAUAUUGAUGGAAUGGAUGAUGACUGGUUAUCAUAACACUAUUUUAGCAGUCUGAUUUUGCUCCUUCCCAAUACAAUCAACUUCUUGCAACAUAAACCAUAGAUGAGGAGGUCAUGGGUAAAAAUGGAAAUGAAAUACUUGUAUUCUAGUUUUUUUUUUUCAGAAAUGGAUUAAUUAGUAGGCAAUGGUAGACAACCAACCUCCUUUGAUUUGUCAUUUUCAUCCCUUCCUUUCCUUUGGUUUAUUAAAAUAAAAGGUUUUCUUUGAUGAUUUUA
Chenopodium quinoa (quinoa) is the source of this 424-nucleotide long non-coding RNA. RefSeq lists it as uncharacterized. The transcript has 2 exons. NCBI's taxonomy places the organism in Eukaryota, Viridiplantae, Streptophyta, Magnoliopsida, Caryophyllales, Amaranthaceae. The record is from RefSeq and is a predicted model, not a curated record.